UUAAAAAAAGGAACAUUUUUGCAUCAUAAGGAUAUGUUUUAAAAACAUUUUUUUUCUCAUAAACAAUGACAAUUAACAAACGCAAAACCCUUGUUUAGUGUUCUUCGCAAAAUAAAUGCACAGGGACGAAUUUUAAGGCGCCGCGCCCUGUCCCCAAAGCUCUUUUUUUAAAAAAACAAAUGUUAAUAAUAUAAAUACAUAUAGAGAAAAAAAAAAUAGCCCACAAUUAAUAUAAAAAAUAACCAAAUUUUUUCAUACUACACGUCUCUUG
Molecule: unclassified non-coding RNA, 271 nt
Filed under: Hevea brasiliensis (rubber tree)
Lineage: Eukaryota; Viridiplantae; Streptophyta; Magnoliopsida; Malpighiales; Euphorbiaceae
Source: RNAcentral